CCGGGCGGGGCGCCGAGGGAUGGCGGCCCGGGAGGAGCGGCGAGGUGAGGGCCGCCCGCGCUCGCCCGGCCUCUCCGGCGGCCCCUCCUCCCGGGGCCCGCUCCCGCGAGGCGGCGGCCCUGCCCUUCUCCUUUCCCUCAGCGCCAAAAAAGGGCCGGCGGAGCGCGGCGGGCGUCCUCGCGCGGGCUCUCCCGGGCGGCGCCAGGCGGGAAGGGAAUUCCAGCUCCCAGCCAGCAGCCUCCUCCCCCGCCGCCCUUCUCACUUCCGCCCGCGGGACCCCAGCCGCCGGCCUGACCUGCCGGCUGGAUCCGGCUCUCGGGGAGGCCCGGGAAGCUGCGGGCCCGGGCGCCUCGGCUGCGGACGCGCAGCUGCGGGAGGCGGAGGGCGCGCGUCCCCGCAGCCUCUCCGCCCGCCCGGGGCGCGCCGGCUCCGCCGCUUGUUGGGGGCUGCAGUGAUGCUCCGGGGUACCCCAGGGAGAAGAAAUUCGUUUUCUCUCCCACGCUGCUUUACACGGGCUAAAGAAAAAGAAAUGAGCGUGGGAGGAAAGGGAAGGAUGGAGUCUCUGGUCCAGGGAGACAAAAAGGCAUCAAAUAUGGGGUCGUCCUUCUGGCCCAGUCCGGCAUCGAGUGUCAGUGGGCUGAGGCACGCAGGCGAUCUAUGGACAGUUGGUGGCAAUGUUGGUGGCACGUAGAGCUGAUUCUCUGGUAGCGUGGUCGCGUAGGAGCCAUCUUACAGGAGGUCCAGGCAGAUGGCAGCAGGUUCUCAGAGGAAUCGGGUUGGGAGGCAGGGGAGCUUGCAUUUGCCACUGGGGCCCCUUAUUCUCCCUAAGUUAUUAAAAGAAAGAUGAAAGCGCAGCCCGACUAAAUAAAGUUACAUCACGUGGCUUCUGGUUUUAAACCAUGUUUUCUAUGAGCCAUUGCUUUUCUACUUCAGUCCAGUCCAUUACGGAAUGUUAUCCUGGCGCAAAAGAUCUGACAAAAUUGGCUCAUAAAUGUCUGCAAGAAGUAGCUUUUCUUGUCACCCCCUUUCUCCACCUACCCUGCCCCCAUCAUCUGAGGACUAUUAAGAGAGACCACACGUGCGGUUUGGCUGAGCGCGGUGGCUCACGCCUGUAAUCCCAUGACUUUGGGAAGCCCAGGUGGGCAGAUCACGAGGUCAGGAGUUCGAGAGCACCAUGGCCAACAUGGUGAAACCCCGUCUCUACUAAAAAUACAAAAAUUAGCCGGGCGUGGUGGCACGCGCCUGUGAUCCCAGCUACUCGGGAGGCUGAGGCAGGAGAAUUGCUGGAACCCGGGAGGCGGAGGUUGCAGUGAGCCGAGAUCGCGCCACUGCACUCCAGCCUGGGCGACAGAGCGAGACGCCGUCUCGGAAAAGAGAGACCACUUGUUUCCUAUGUUCUCUCACUGAACAUUGCAAUUAGAAGGCCCACCCCAAAUAAUAAUAGGAAGGACUUUUUGUCUUGCUAAUGAAUUCAUCCCAGGAAGGGGGUGGGGGGAGAAAUAUAUUGUUUGGAUUAUCUUUGGGUAGGAGAAGGGAGAAGGAUUGGGAGGAAGCAGAGGGUGUGUUCACUCUUAUCUUACAAAACAAAAACAGAAAACCUUGAAAACUUACCCCAAACCAAGAUUUGAGAACCACCUAUGAUAAACAGUCCUUAACUUGGAGAGAAUAUGUGUUUGGUUUUUUUUUUUAUUAUUACAAGCUUCAGCUUUCUUCUUGAAUGACAGAUUGUUAAAUAAUAUCUUCUUCAUAAGUACAUUUCCCCUAUUUAAAGAAGAUACAUCCUACCAUGCUAACAUUUUACCUUAGGAAGGAGAAAGGGUUAAAAACCAGAGAACUAAAAGAAAGUCAAAGGUGAAACAUGAGAUCCUUUCAACAUAGUUUGGUUACAUUUGUGGUUCUUACUACGAAAUUUAUCUGCUUCACAGAGAGGUGUUGUUGUCAUCUUUUACUUUGUUUAUUAUUAUUACUUGGGAAAGGAGGUUUAUCUUUUUAUUUUUUAGAAAAAAAAAUGCAUUUUUUUUUUUUUUUGAGACAGAGUUUCCCUCUUGUUGCCCAGGCUGGAGUGCAAUGCUGCGAUCUCAGCUUUCUGCAACCUCCACCUCCCGGGUUCAAGUGAUUCUCCUGCCUCAGCCUCCGGAGUAGCUGGGAUUCCAGGCAUGAGCCACCACACCCGGCUAAUUUUGUAUUUUUAGUAGAGACGGGGUUUCACCAUGUUGGUCAGGCUGGUCUGGAACUCCCGACCUCACGUGAUCCACCCACCUCGGCCUCCCAAAGUGCUGGGAUUACAGGCAUGAGCCUCCAUGCCCAGCAAAAAAAAAUGCAUUUUUUUUUUCCAUAGAGAUAGGGUCUUGCUACCUUGCCCAAGACAGACCUCAAACUCCUGGCCCCAAGGGAUCCUGCCACCCCAAGUGAUCCUGCUGCCUUGGUCUCUCAAAGCACUACUGUGCCUGGCCUAUUUUCUUUAUAAUAAUGCUAGGAAUAAGGAACUAAAAAAUAAAAGACAUAGAAAAUGUUCUAGUAGAUUCUGGCCUCCCUGGAAAAAAAUGAAGGAAAUAAAAAUGGAUCUAUGACUUACUCAGUUGUUUUCUUGGAUUCUAUAAAAAACAUUCAUCUCUUCACCUUGUUUCACCUGGCCUUUAAAUCGUUACUGAUAAAACUCCAUUUUCACAUCAACCCUUCACACUUCCAUUCUCUAUGAGGGUGCAGUGAGACACGAUAAGCUUUGGAGCAGGAGGUGGAGUGAGUGAUCAAGCAUUUAGCAGCUUCUUUGGGAUGGUAGAGUGUAACAUCCAGUAUUAAGCAUCAGGCUGGGGAAUUUUGCUGGGAUGCGUCCCCUGUAUCAAAGAGACUUGGACCUACGAUUUUUCUAUGCCUCAACCGGCAACAAUGCCAGAUUCAGUGGGUCAGCCACAAAGAACAGGCUCUCAGUCUCUCCUCUGUCUCUUGAAUCUUUCACCAAUGGAUGCUUUUGUUUCCCAGCCGUCAUAGAUAUGCCUCAGACUGGUAUUUUCUUGCCUUUUUAAAACAGACCAAAAAAAUCAUGCUCAAAGAAUGAUGUGCAUUAGAAAGGCAAUUCAAGCACAGUAACAUUAUCAGGGUAAGAUGAGGUUGGACAGGGAGUCUGGGGUAUUAGUCUCACAAUACUGGGCAUUGAUCUUGUGAGUUUUUUUGGCUCCCAAUAUGAUAAUAACAUUAUUUAGGAUUGGGAGCAUCUUAAAUGAUCAAAUCAUUUUAAUAAAUUAUGCAGUAAGUUUUCUGUUAAGCUAGAAAUGCAAAGUCAGAGCAAUAUAAACUCCUUUAUUUUAAAAAGACCUAAAAUUAUUCCUAGUCUUCCUGAAAAUAUUGCUUUAUAUAACUGGAGGUAUAAUUUUAUAGAUCUGUUAUUGACUGAUCAUUGAAUAAUAAAAACCAGUUUUGUGGUACUAUCUGUAAAACAGUUUUACAGAAGCGUAAUGGUCAAAUAGAGUUAGGUAAUUUUUAUUUUUUAUUUUUUAUUUUUUUAGACAGGGUCUCACUCUGCCAUUCAGGCUGGAGUGUGGUGGCACUAUUAUGGCUCAAUGAAGCCUCCCAGGUUCAAGUGCUCCUCCCAGAGGCCUCCCAGGUUCAAGUGCUCCUCCCACCUCAGCCUCCCAAGUAGCUGAGAAUACAGGCCUGCGCCACUAUGCCCGGUUAAUUCUUACAUUUUCUGUGGGGACGGGGUUUCACCAUGUUGCCCAGGCUGGUCUUGAACUCCUGGGCGCAAGUGAUGCUCCCUCCUCAGCCUCCCAGAGUGCUGGGAUUACAGGUAUGAGCCACCACACCCAGCUGAAGUAGGUCAUUUUUUAAAGAACUUAUGGAAAAUAUCCCUUUUGAAAUAGCAAGUAGAAAAAAAAAUCUUAGUACAAGAUGUUUAUCACAGUAUUGCUUUUAAUAACAAAAAAUUGGAAAACAACAUAAUGUAUAAUAAUAGUAGCUAAUAUGUAUUGAGUGUUUAGCAUGUGCCAGGCACUGUUGUAAGUGCUUUACAUGGAUUACAGUACUGUUUUUAUAUUUUACAGCUGAGGAAGCUGAAGUGCAGAGUAAAUUUUGGUAUGGUAGAAUGAAAUACCAAGGAGCCAUUAGAAGUUUUUGUGUAGAUCUUUCUUUAGGAUCACUGAAAAAUAUACUUUUUUUUUUUUUUUUUUUUGAGACAGUCUCGCUCUUGUUGCCCAGGCUGGAGUGCAGUGGUGUGAUCUCAGCUCACUACAACCUCAGCCUCCUGGGUUCAAGCCAUUCUCCUGUCUCAGCCUCCCAAGUAGCUGGGAUUACAGGUGUCUGCCACCACGCCUGGCUAAUUUUUGUAUUUUUAGUAGAAACGGGUUUUCACCAUGUUGGCCAGGCUGGUCUUCAACUCCCAACUUCAGGUAAUCCGCCCACCUCAGCCUCCCAAAGUGCUGGGAUUACAGGCGUGAGCCACCACGCCUGGCUGAAAAAUAUACUUUUACAUAAAGUUUAAAAAAAAAAAACAGAUUUUGGAACAGCAUAUAUGAUUCCCUUUAUGUAAACCUAUAUACUGUAAAAUAAAAUUUAUAGGAGGCCAGUGCAGUGACCGAUUCCUGUAAUCCCAGCACUUUGGGAGGCCAGGGCGGGAGGAUUGCACAAGCCAGGAGUUUGAGGCCAGCCUGGGCAACAUAGUGAGACCUUGUCUCUACAAAAAAAUUUAAAAAUAAAUAAAAUGUAUAGACCAUUGGUUUGUUUAGUAUUUAUUUGAGACAGGGUCUUGCUCUGUUGCCUAAGUUGGAGUGCAGUGGCACAACCACAGUUCACUGCAGCCUCAACCUCAUGGGCCCCACCUCAACCGGCUAAUUUUUUAAAAUUUUGUAGAGACAGGCUCUCCCUAUGUUUUCCAGGCUGAUAUCAAAACUCCUGGGCUCAAAGCAAUUCUCCCUCUUCGACCUUAGAAAGUGUUGGGAUUAUAGGUGUGAGCCACCGCACCAGCCAAGACCAUUGGUUUGAACUGAGCUCCUGCACUAGCCCCAACAGAUGAAACCAAAAUGGAGUUACUCAUGGUGAUGUUCCAUGAUGCCACCAAGCCAGAACCAAGAUCUGUAUCUGAUCUUUGAAAAAAUCAGGAGAGAGAUAAUAACCAAAUCCCCAGACAGGCCGCUUUUAACCAGUAUGAUAAGGCAGUGCCCUCUGCUUUAACCUUUACAA
Molecule: long non-coding RNA, 5172 nt
Filed under: Homo sapiens (human)
Lineage: Eukaryota; Metazoa; Chordata; Mammalia; Primates; Hominidae
Description: non-protein coding lnc-MANSC4-1:2
Source: RNAcentral